This 344-nucleotide long non-coding RNA is filed under the name Panax ginseng (ginseng). RNAcentral's name for it is "long non-coding RNA (PGIN_LNC001820)". Lineage: Eukaryota; Viridiplantae; Streptophyta; Magnoliopsida; Apiales; Araliaceae. The record is from RNAcentral.
UACAUACAAAGAAGAAGAAUGAUUGUUGGCAACCAGCACAGAUGCACCCCAAUAAUGGUCUCUACCUCACUAAAACCCCAGUUUUUCCUUCUCUAUUUUGUCUAAAUAGAGAUAAAUAUCCACACACACACACAAAAUCAGACCUGGGGAUGCAGCAAUAAAGUAUAAUAUAUCUGGAAUCCUAAUUAGGAUUUUCCGCUGUCGACACCGAGUUCAAAAUGCCACCACAACCACAACGAGUUUAAUUCACCUUGUAUCAUCAAUCAAAAUUGUCAAUGUAAUAUGUAAAUACCUUCAAGGUUCUGCAAUCAGAAUCUGUCCAUCUCAAUGUUCAGCAGCAUCGG